ACUGUGAUUAAAGUUUAUAACAGGUCAGGACAGGACUCUGGAACGGAUUCAAAUGUUUGAAUGUGUAGGCAGCACAUCAUACUCUACAAAUCGAAUUAGAUACGUCCGCCCCUCUAGAUCCUGUAGUGCUCUGCGAAUGACUUUCGUGGGGUAGAGACGAUGGUAUUUUUUUUUCAUAAUCACACGAUGUUUUAUGUCCUGGAUAGACGGCAACCUUAAGCUGCUCUUAGACAAAAAUGAUACCUACUAUUGUAAUCAAAUACAGAGUAUUUUUGAUUGUUCAAAAAUGAUUGCAGAGAAGUUAAUUUGGUUCUUUCUGUGCCACCAAUUUUUUGAAGAGAUUGUAGCACUGUGCAACAUUAGACAUCAACAAAAGAGGUGUUUAACUUGCCCAAUAUCGGGUGGCCUUUUAUCAAAAAUGCGCGCGAUCGAGAUUUUGGUGGAAAACUCUAUAAGACUCCGCUAGUUUAGACAUGAUAGCUUGAAGCAGUUGUUUUUAUCUCGUUUGUGCUUAGCAAAGGUAGAGGGAGUAAUAAAAGUACGUACACUUCUUAUCAUUUAACAGUGUGGUUUGAUUCAAAUACGACAGAUUUCUAUAUUAUAUUAUGAAAUGUGAAUAUCUAAUCUAGCGAUAGAUUACGAUUUACUUUAUUAUCUAUUUUUCUGUAUAAAUGUAUAAUAAAUACACACACGAUGUGUAAUCUUAUCA
Photinus pyralis (common eastern firefly) is the source of this 709-nucleotide long non-coding RNA. RefSeq lists it as uncharacterized. NCBI's taxonomy places the organism in Eukaryota, Metazoa, Arthropoda, Insecta, Coleoptera, Lampyridae. The transcript is spliced from 2 exons. The record is from RefSeq and is a predicted model, not a curated record.